AGUGAACGCUGGCGGUAGGCCUAACACAUGCAAGUCGAACGGCAGCACAGGAGAGCUUGCUCUCUGGGUGGCGAGUGGCGGACGGGUGAGGAAUACAUCGGAAUCUGCCCAGUCGUGGGGGAUAACGUAGGGAAACUUACGCUAAUACCGCAUACGACCUUCGGGUGAAAGAGGGGGAUCGCAAGACCUCUCGCGAUUGGAUGAGCCGAUGUCGGAUUAGCUAGUUGGCGGGGUAAUGGCCCACCAAGGCGACGAUCCGUAGCUGGUCUGAGAGGAUGAUCAGCCACACUGGAACUGAGACACGGUCCAGACUCCUACGGGAGGCAGAAGUGGGGAAUAUUGGACAAUGGGCGCAAGCCUGAUCCAGCCAUACCGCGUGGGUGAAGAAGGCCUUCGGGUUGUAAAGCCCUUUUGUUGGGAAAGAAAUCUUUCAGGCUAAUACCCUGGGAGGAUGACGGUACCCAAAGAAUAAGCACCGGCUAACUUCGUG
Molecule: ribosomal RNA, 490 nt
Filed under: uncultured bacterium
Lineage: Bacteria
Description: partial 16S ribosomal RNA
Rfam family: Bacterial small subunit ribosomal RNA
Source: RNAcentral